GCCAGGUGUGGUGGUGCACACCUGUAAUCCCAGCUACUCGGGAGGCUGAGGCAGGAGAAUUGCUUGAACCCAGGAGGUGGAAGCUGCAGUGAGCUGAGAUGGCACCACUGCACUCCCGCCUGGGUGACAGAGUGAGAUUCUGUCUCAG
This 148-nucleotide signal recognition particle RNA is filed under the name Pan paniscus (pygmy chimpanzee). Its description in RNAcentral is "Metazoan signal recognition particle RNA". It matches the Rfam family "Metazoan signal recognition particle RNA". From Rfam's summary of the family: The signal recognition particle (SRP) is a universally conserved ribonucleoprotein. It is involved in the co-translational targeting of proteins to membranes. RNAcentral also lists the same sequence under 1 other name. The record is from Rfam by way of RNAcentral. Lineage: Eukaryota; Metazoa; Chordata; Mammalia; Primates; Hominidae.